Molecule: ribosomal RNA, 774 nt
Filed under: uncultured Neocallimastigales
Lineage: Eukaryota; Fungi; Neocallimastigomycota; Neocallimastigomycetes; Neocallimastigales
Description: partial large subunit ribosomal RNA
Rfam family: Eukaryotic large subunit ribosomal RNA
Source: RNAcentral
AGAGAGAGACAUGCGCGCAUAUCAAUAAGCGGAGGAAAAGAAACUAACAAGGAUUCCCUUAGUAACGGCGAGUGAAGCGGGAAGAGCUCAAAUUUGAAAUCUUCAAGGUUUUACCUUGACGAAUUGUAGUUUAAAGAAGUGUUUUCUGUUGAGGUUUUGGUAAAAGUUCUUUGGAAUAGGACAUCAUAGAGGGUGAGAAUCCCGUAUUUGACCUUUACUUUCAACUUUGUGAUACACUUUCAAAGAGUCGGAUUGUUUGGGAAUGCAGUCCAAAAUGGGUGGUAAAUUUCAUCUAAAGCUAAAUAUUGGCGAGAGACCGAUAGCGAACAAGUACCGUGAGGGAAAGAUGAAAAGAACUUUGAAAAGAGAGUUAAACAGUACGUGAAAUUGUCAAAAGGGAAGCGUUUGACACCAGUGUUGUUUUUCUGAAAAUCAAUUAAAGAACUGUUUAUGCUAAGUUGUUUAGACUUUAUCAGCUAUCUGUUUAGUUUUGAGCUUUUCUUUAAUGCACUUUUCAGUUAACAAGUCAACAUCAAUUUCUUUUGCUGUAAAAAAGCUUGAGGAAGGUGGCUUGAGAUUCGUCUUAAGUGUUUAUAGCCUCUUGCCUAUGCAGUCGGAGAGAUUGAGGUCUGCAGCGUAGAUCCUUCGGGGCUAAAUGCAUUUGUGCUAAGUUAUAGCAUUUUAUAGACAACUUGUUGACUAUGAUUUGUCUUGUAGCUUACUCGCUUAUGUUAUUUUACCUACGCUUAGGAUGUUGACGCAUGAGAUAUACGC